CAUGCAAGUCGAGCGGAUGACGGGAGCUUGCUCCUUGAUUCAGCGGCGGACGGGUGAGUAAUGCCUAGGAAUCUGCCUGGUAGUGGGGGACAACGUUUCGAAAGGAACGCUAAUACCGCAUACGUCCUACGGGAGAAAGCAGGGGACCUUCGGGCCUUGCGCUAUCAGAUGAGCCUAGGUCGGAUUAGCUAGUUGGUGAGGUAAUGGCUCACCAAGGCGACGAUCCGUAACUGGUCUGAGAGGAUGAUCAGUCACACUGGAACUGAGACACGGUCCAGACUCCUACGGGAGGCAGCAGUGGGGAAUAUUGGACAAUGGGCGAAAGCCUGAUCCAGCCAUGCCGCGUGUGUGAAGAAGGUCUUCGGAUUGUAAAGCACUUUAAGUUGGGAGGAAGGGCAGUAAGUUAAUACCUUGCUGUUUUGACGUUACCGACAGAAUAAGCACCGGCUAACUCUGUGCCAGCAGCCGCGGUAAUACAGAGGGUGCAAGCGUUAAUCGGAAUUACUGGGCGUAAAGCGCGCGUAGGUGGUUCGUUAAGUUGGAUGUGAAAGCCCCGGGCUCAACCUGGGAACUGCAUCCAAAACUGGCGAGCUAUAGUACGGUAGAGGGUGGUGGAAUUUCCUGUGUAGCGGUGAAAUGCGUAGAUAUAGGAAGGAACACCAGUGGCGAAGGCGACCACCUGUACUGAUACUGACACUGAUGUGCGAAAGCGUGGGGAGCAAACACGAGUAGAUACCCCUGGUAGUCCACGCCGUACACGAUGUCAACUAGCCGUUGGAAUCCUUGAGAUUUUAGUGGCGCAGCUAACGCAUUAAGUUGACCGCCUGGGGAGUACGGCCGCAAGGUUAAAACUCAAAUGAAUUGACGGGGGCCCGCACAAGCGGUGGAGCAUGUGGUUUAAUUUGAAGCAACGCGAAGAACCUUACCAGGCCUUGACAUGCAGAGAACUUUCCAGAGAUGGAUUGGUGCCUUCGGGAACUCUGACACAGGUGCUGCAUGGCUGUCGUCAGCUCGUGUCGUGAGAUGUUGGGUUAAGUCCCGUAACGAGCGCAACCCUUGUCCUUAGUUACCAGCACGUUAUGGUGGGCACUCUAAGGAGACUGCCGGUGACAAACCGGAGGAAGGUGGGGAUGACGUCAAGUCAUCAUGGCCCUUACGGCCUGGGCUACACACGUGCUACAAUGGUCGGUACAGAGGGUUGCCAAGCCGCGAGGUGGAGCUAAUCUCACAAAACCGAUCGUAGUCCGGAUCGCAGUCUGCAACUCGACUGCGUGAAGUCGGAAUCGCUAGUAAUCGCGAAUCAGAAUGUCGCGGUGAAUACGUUCCCGGGCCUUGUACACACCGCCCGUCACACCAUGGGAGUGGGUUGCUCCAGAAGUAGUUAGUUUAACUCUCGGGAGG
RNAcentral lists this ribosomal RNA (1401 nucleotides) under Pseudomonas monteilii. RNAcentral describes it as "16S ribosomal RNA". It matches the Rfam family "Bacterial small subunit ribosomal RNA". The record is from RNAcentral. Lineage: Bacteria; Pseudomonadati; Pseudomonadota; Gammaproteobacteria; Pseudomonadales; Pseudomonadaceae.